AAAUAGCCCCGAUGGAAAUGGAAAUCCUCCCGAUUUGUUUUUUCGGGAGAUUGUAAUGUACAGCGGGACAAGGC
Molecule: small RNA, 74 nt
Filed under: Flavobacterium gillisiae
Lineage: Bacteria; Pseudomonadati; Bacteroidota; Flavobacteriia; Flavobacteriales; Flavobacteriaceae
Description: Flavo-1 RNA
Rfam family: Flavo-1 RNA
Source: RNAcentral